Molecule: transfer RNA, 71 nt
Filed under: Camelus bactrianus (Bactrian camel)
Lineage: Eukaryota; Metazoa; Chordata; Mammalia; Artiodactyla; Camelidae
Also listed under: 2 other names
Rfam family: tRNA
About the family: Transfer RNA (tRNA) molecules are approximately 80 nucleotides in length.
Source: Rfam by way of RNAcentral
GAGGGCAUAGCUCAGCGGAAGUGCGCGUGCUUAGCGUGCACGAGGUCCUGGGUUCAAUCACAGUGCCUCCA